RNAcentral lists this transfer RNA (103 nucleotides) under Burkholderia vietnamiensis. RNAcentral describes it as "tRNA-Cys". The record is from RNAcentral. Lineage: Bacteria; Pseudomonadati; Pseudomonadota; Betaproteobacteria; Burkholderiales; Burkholderiaceae.
GUGGCGAUUGAAGGUGGUUAAUAUUGUUAAGUAAUUGAAUUUAAAUAGUUGCCGACGGCCUGCAAAGCCGUUUAGGCCGGUUCGACUCCGGCUCGCGCCUCCA